This 507-nucleotide small RNA is filed under the name Arabidopsis thaliana (thale cress). RNAcentral's name for it is "ATSL148830". The record is from RNAcentral. Lineage: Eukaryota; Viridiplantae; Streptophyta; Magnoliopsida; Brassicales; Brassicaceae.
AUUGAUUUGAAUUAAAUAUUUUUUAAAUUAAAGUAUUAUUAAAACAAAAAUAACAAAAUAAUGUCUAAUUUUACUGAACAGGGUUAGUGGUAGGACGGGUUUGGUCGAUAGUAUUACGAGACGGUAUACCACAAGUGAAAUCCAUUAGAUAUGUUUAAUUUCAUUGUGCAUGAUUAGAUGGUAUGACGGGUUUUGAUCGAUAAUAAUACGAAACGAUAUACUACGGAUGAAAUCCUAGAUAUGACAAUUAAAAUCUAUAUAUAUAUUAUCUUAAACACUAAAUAAAGCAAACAAUAUUAAUAAAACAAAUAUCUACAUAUACAUUUUAUAUAACAAAUUUUAUUAAAAACCUAGCCCCGCGGUAUACCGCGGGUCAAAAUCUAGUUAGAGUACUAAUAUUCUAUCGAAGAAAAAUCUAAAAUCCUAUUUCUCAAAUUGUUUUUGCUAUAUUUGAUAAGAUUAGAAUUUAGAAAAAGCUUAAUUAGGAGUAGAAGAUAAUAUGUAAUU